GUGGGUGCUCAUUUAAAAAUAAGUCCACUGAAUUGACUCGAUGAAAGUGAAUAUCUUAUGGAAGUUGUUGGGUAUAAAAUAACUCCAGCCGAAGUUCGUAAGAGGCCAACCCUCCCAGGACUCUUCCGGCUUCCAACCUUGUGCGGCGUCUUUCUGAACUCCCCCGGCCGUCCGAGCUUCCACAGUACCAUCCAGACUCCUCCAACAGUCGACCUUCUACAGUGUCCUCC
Molecule: long non-coding RNA, 230 nt
Filed under: Elaeis guineensis (African oil palm)
Lineage: Eukaryota; Viridiplantae; Streptophyta; Magnoliopsida; Arecales; Arecaceae
Description: long non-coding RNA (EGUI_LNC042637)
Source: RNAcentral